Molecule: long non-coding RNA, 1809 nt
Organism: Scophthalmus maximus (turbot)
Lineage: Eukaryota; Metazoa; Chordata; Actinopteri; Pleuronectiformes; Scophthalmidae
Source: Ensembl
AUGUGUAAAUAUUUGCCUUCUGUUGUUAUGUUGUUAUUUAUCUGUUGUGAAAGGAAAAAAAUCAACUACAAAGCAAUACGUCUCCCCUCGUGUCCCCUCGACCUUCAGACAGCUGAAGCUACACGUCUUUUCUAAAGCUGCGUUUUACUAUGUGACAAAUUUUACGGAAAAUGAAUAAAUUAUAGGUUUUAUGUGACAUAUCCUGGUGAGCUGGUGGUUUGUUUCGCUGCUGUUUGUUCACUGUGUGGUUGUUUGCCAAAUGCCUUCAAUGUCCAAUGAUGUUAAACUCCCUCUCUGAAGCAUAUAUCAAGGAAGUGGCUGAGAUGGGAAGCUGUUAGAGGAGAAACAGGCCAUUUUCUAUUCUCUGUAAUAGAUUCAAACAAUUUCAAUUCGGGAAAGUAUGAUUUUAAAGCAGAAAAUAAAUUUCAGAAAGGAAAUAUGUACUACUUAACUGAAGCCAUGAAAUAAACUACCAGUUUCACGUUUUCAAAUGACAAGUUCAGUGCCAAAAUGAAAAGAAAUGUUAACAGUUUGAUGCUAUGAUAAAUUCAGAGAGUUGCAGUUCUGGGUUUUGCAUAAACAACACACAACUAAUCCCAGUAGACUCCUUUUGCGAAACAAGUUUAAAUUGAGAGCUUGAUCAUAUAUGUAUAUAUAAAUAUAACCUUAACCCUCCUAAAGAAGGCACCUUGGACUGAACACAAAUCUAAAAAGCUGCACAAAUCUCUUUUUCUUACUUUCUAAGAAAAAUUUGUACUAUUUAACUAGAUCCAUUAAAAAAUCCUCCAGCUGUAACAGUGAGUCAAUAAUUUUUUAGGGAUUUUCAAAUGAACAGGUAAAGGAAAAUAAUCGUAUCUUAAUGAAUCUAUGGCAGCAGCUGAUUCCCAAUGAUCUAAGCAACUUUUUACAAGGGCUGAAAGGAACAUUGGAAAUACAUUUCUGUAGUUUGAUACUGUGAUAACUAAGCACUGUUAUGAUGCAAUAAAAUGCAUCUUAAAAAAUCCAUAAAAUAUAAUAACAUAUACAAAAAUAAAUACCUGAGAUCCACCGGGUGUGACAGAGGUAAACAACUAUUAAUGAUGAGUGGGACAAUAUCUUCUACUCUUUAAUUUCCUAGUAGUCUUUUUAGAGUAUUGGGUUAUUUGUAUAUAUUGUGCUCCUUUUGCACGUUUCUCAUGAGACUGUGGUGUUUGUAAUUCCGAUAAUGUACUUGUUAAAGGGCAUAUAAUUUUUGCACUAUAUCCAUCAAACCACUUGCUGAGGUCAUUAGAACUCACAGAAGAAAUCCAAAUAUUAAUAUCCUAUUCUCUUCUCUUCUAUUCACUCUCUUACCCUGGCCUGCCAACUCAUUCUUUGUUUGUAAUUUAUAUUUCACAUUCAUGCACUCAGGUGCUCUACACCACGCAGAUAGACUGACCUGAUCACAGACAUAACUUUUUUAACUUAUUUGUAUUUCAUGUCUUUCAUGAAAACAUUUAUGUCUCAUGUAAGAGCCAUGUGCGGACUCCCUCUCCACGUCACCAGGUUGUGACAGUGGCCACGUGAGGGCAGCAGAACAGCAAGUCAGUGGGAUGGUGCUCAUCCCUUUCCUCAGGUGUUGUAAUAUUUAGUCAUUUAUCCGCCAUUAUCAUGUCUACGUGUAUGUAAAGUCAGGUUUUUUUAAUAAAGCAAUAUUGUUUGCAUGUUAAAAUAAAAACACUAAGUCCACAAAGCAAGAGGGGACAUGUUAAGGUUUACUGUAAUAUUGUUGAUCUGUUAAAAUAUGCAUGUGUUUUGCAGGUGUGUGCCUGUUGAUAAUGAAAAUGGGCA